GAUGAAGAACGCAGCGAAAUGCGAUAAGUAAUGUGAAUUGCAGAAUUCAGUGAAUCAUCGAAUCUUUGAACGCACCUUGCGCCCUUUGGCCAUUCCGAAGGGCAUGCCUGUUUGAGUAUCAUGAACACCUCAACUCUUCAUGGUUUCCAUGAUGAGCUUGGACUUUGGGGGUCUUGCUGGCCUGUGGGUCGGCUCCUCUCAAAUGAAUCAGCUUGCCGGUUUUUGGUGGGCAUCACAGGUGUGAUAACUAUCUACGCUUGUGGUUUUCCACCAGGGUAACCUUCAGCAGUGGAGGUUCACUGGAGCUUACAAAUGUCUCUCCUCUGUGAGGACAGCCCUUUGAAUGUUUGAUCUCAAAUCAGGUAGGACUACCCGCUGAACUUAAGCAUAUCAAUAAGCGGAGGA
Molecule: unclassified non-coding RNA, 405 nt
Filed under: soil metagenome
Description: partial contains 5.8S ribosomal RNA, internal transcribed spacer 2, and large subunit ribosomal RNA
Rfam family: 5.8S ribosomal RNA (bases 1-121)
Source: RNAcentral